RNAcentral lists this ribosomal RNA (250 nucleotides) under uncultured prokaryote. RNAcentral's name for it is "partial 16S ribosomal RNA". It matches the Rfam family "Bacterial small subunit ribosomal RNA", at positions 524 to 773 of the family's 1533-position model. The record is from RNAcentral.
UACGGAGGAUGCGAGCGUUAUCCGGAUUUAUUGGGUUUAAAGGGUGCGUAGGCUCGCUCUCAAGUCAGGGGUGAAAUGCCGGGGCUUAACCUCGGAGCUGCCUUUGAUACUGUGGGUCUUGAAUUCGGAUGCCGUGGGAGGAAUGAGUAGUGUAGCGGUGAAAUGCAUAGAUAUUACUCAGAACACCGAUUGCGAAGGCAUCUCACGAAUCCGACAUUGACGCUGAGGCACGAAAGCGUGGGGACCAAAC